RNAcentral lists this transfer RNA (101 nucleotides) under Daphnia pulex (common water flea). It matches the Rfam family "tRNA". Rfam says of the family: Transfer RNA (tRNA) molecules are approximately 80 nucleotides in length. Their secondary structure includes four short double-helical elements and three loops (D, anti-codon, and T loops). The record is from Rfam by way of RNAcentral. Lineage: Eukaryota; Metazoa; Arthropoda; Branchiopoda; Diplostraca; Daphniidae.
CCGUCGGUAGCUCAGUUGGCAGAGCGGUGGACUGUAGAUUCGUUUCAAUUCGUGAUAAACAAGUUAUCCAUAGGUCGCUGGUUCAAUUCCGGCCCGACGGA